RNAcentral lists this ribosomal RNA (643 nucleotides) under uncultured bacterium. RNAcentral's name for it is "bacterial SSU rRNA". It matches the Rfam family "Bacterial small subunit ribosomal RNA", at positions 134 to 791 of the family's 1533-position model. The record is from RNAcentral.
GACUCUGGGAUAGCCACCGGAGACGGUGAUUAAUACCGGAUAUGACCACUCUAGGCAUCUAGUGGUGGUGGAAAGUUUUUCGGUCCAGGAUGUGCUCGCGGCCUAUCAGCUUGUUGGUGAGGUAAUGGCUCACCAAGGCUUUGACGGGUAGCCGGCCUGAGAGGGUGACCGGUCACACUGGGACUGAGACACGGCCCAGACUCCUACGGGAGGCAGCAGUGGGGAAUAUUGGACAAUGGGCGGAAGCCUGAUCCAGCAACGCCGCGUGAGGGAUGACGGCCUUCGGGUUGUAAACCUCUUUCAGUACCGACGAAGCGAAAGUGACGGUAGGUACAGAAGAAGGACCGGCCAACUACGUGCCAGCAGCCGCGGUAAUACGUAGGGUCCGAGCGUUGUCCGGAAUUAUUGGGCGUAAAGGGCUCGUAGGCGGUUUGUCGCGUCGGGAGUGAAAACAGCGGGCUUAACUCGUUGCUUGCUUUCGAUACGGGCAGACUAGAGGUAUGCAGGGGAGAAUGGAAUUCCUGGUGUAGCGGUGAAAUGCGCAGAUAUCAGGAGGAACACCGGUGGCGAAGGCGGUUCUCUGGGCAUUACCUGACGCUGAGGAGCGAAAGUGUGGGGAGCGAACAGGAUUAGAUACCCUGGU